This 253-nucleotide ribosomal RNA is filed under the name uncultured bacterium. RNAcentral describes it as "partial 16S ribosomal RNA". It matches the Rfam family "Bacterial small subunit ribosomal RNA", at positions 524 to 776 of the family's 1533-position model. The record is from RNAcentral.
UACGUAGGGUGCAAGCGUUGUCCGGAAUUAUUGGGCGUAAAGAGCUCGUAGGCGGUUUGUCGCGUCUGCUGUGAAAACUCGGGGCUCAACUCCGAGCUUGCAGUGGGUACGGGCAGACUAGAGUGCGGUAGGGGAGACUGGAAUUCCUGGUGUAGCGGUGGAAUGCGCAGAUACCAGGAGGAACACCGGUGGCGAAGGCGGGUCUCUGGGCAGUAACUGACGCUGAGGAGCGAAAGCGUGGGUAGCAAACAGG